UACGGAGGGGGCUAGCGUUGUUCGGAAUUACUGGGCGUAAAGCGCGCGUAGGCGGACCUGCAAGUCGGGGGUGAAAGCCCGAGGCUCAACCUCGGAACUGCCUUCGAUACUGCGGGUCUCGAGUCCGGGAGAGGUGAGUGGAAUUCCUAGUGUAGAGGUGAAAUUCGUAGAUAUUGGGAGGAACACCAGUGGCGAAGGCGGCUUUCUGGACGGUGUCUGACGCUGAGGCGCGAAAGCUAGGGGAGCAAACAGG
Molecule: ribosomal RNA, 253 nt
Filed under: uncultured bacterium
Lineage: Bacteria
Description: partial 16S ribosomal RNA
Rfam family: Bacterial small subunit ribosomal RNA
Source: RNAcentral